GUGAGGUGUCUGCUGUCGAUUCCAGCUUCCACCUCAGUGACAGUGCAAGCUCAGUGAACUGUUCAAGGAGGCUACUGAUUCUGGCCCUGUGACACUUGGUGACGUGUGAGCUGAUUCACCUGCAAAACAUGGACUCUACACCAUGAGGCAGGCACACGUUAAUACUCUAUAAGAGCACAUAAGGUGAGCAACACCACAUAUUAUUGUACACUGUCCUGGAUUUGUUUUCUUUCUGCAUCUCAUCAUUAG
Non-coding RNA from Nothobranchius furzeri (turquoise killifish), 249 nucleotides. The record is from RefSeq and is a predicted model, not a curated record. Lineage: Eukaryota; Metazoa; Chordata; Actinopteri; Cyprinodontiformes; Nothobranchiidae.